This 468-nucleotide ribosomal RNA is filed under the name uncultured bacterium. Its description in RNAcentral is "partial 16S ribosomal RNA". It matches the Rfam family "Bacterial small subunit ribosomal RNA", at positions 28 to 507 of the family's 1533-position model. The record is from RNAcentral.
GACGAACGCUGGCGGCGUGCUUAACACAUGCAAGUCGAACGGAAAGGCCCUGCUUUUGUGGGGUGCUCGAGUGGCGAACGGGUGAGUAACACGUGAGUAACCUGCACUUGACUUUGGGAUAACUUCAGGAAACUGGGGCUAAUACCGGAUAGGAGCUCCUGCUGCAUGGUGGGGGUUGGAAAGUUUCGGCGGUUGGGGAUGGACUCGCGGCUUAUCAGCUUGUUGGUGGGGUAGUGGCUUACCAAGGCUUUGACGGGUAGCCGGCCUGAGAGGGUGACCGGCCACAUUGGGACUGAGAUACGGCCCAGACGCCUACGGGAGGCAGCAGUGGGGAAUAUUGCACAAUGGGCGGAAGCCUGAUGCAGCAACGCCGCGUGCGGGAUGACGGCCUUCGGGUUGUAAACCGCUUUCGCCUGUGACGAAGCGUGAGUGACGGUAAUUGGUAAAGAAGCACCGGCUAACUACGUG